UAAAUAGCUAUGAAAGGGACGAGUUUCUGUUGUAUUGCUACAGAGAGCCGGAAAUUGCUGAAAUCCGGUGCAUGAGGCUGGAAUACUUCUCACCCUGGAGCUGCCAGUUUAAAGAUUAUUUCUAUUAGACUAGGUCGGGUUUUUGAUACCCGUUAUCAAAAUUGUGUUUAUUUGGACACUUGAGUGGCUCAUCAUUUUAAUGGUGUGGCAAUCAGGGUGGUACCACGUGAGGUAUAAAACCUUUCGUCCCUGGC
RNAcentral lists this non-coding RNA (254 nucleotides) under Desulfofarcimen acetoxidans. Its description in RNAcentral is "Desulfotomaculum acetoxidans T-box sequence". It matches the Rfam family "T-box leader". From Rfam's summary of the family: Uncharged tRNA acts as the effector for transcription antitermination of genes in the T-box leader family. The record is from RNAcentral. Lineage: Bacteria; Bacillati; Bacillota; Clostridia; Eubacteriales; Peptococcaceae.